AGUGAACGCCGGCGGUAGGCCUAACACAUGCAAGUCGAACGGCAGCACAGGAGAGCUUGCUCUCUGGGUGGCGAGUGGCGGACGGGUGGGGAAUACAUCGGAAUCUACUCUGUCGUGGGGGAUAACGUAGGGAAACUUACGCUAAUACCGCAUACGACCUACGGGUGAAAGCAGGGGACCUUCGGGCCUUGCGCGAUUGAAUGAGCCGAUGUCGGAUUAGCUAGUUGGCGGGGUAAAGGCCCACCAAGGCGACGAUCCGUAGCUGGUCGGAGAGGAUGAUCAGCCUCACUGGAACUGAGACACGGUCCAGACUCCUACGGGAGGCAGCAGUGGGGAAUAUUGGACAAUGGGCGCAAGCCUGAUCCAGCCAUACCGCGUGGGUGAAGAAGGCCCUCGGGUUGUAAAGCCCUUUUGUUGGGAAAGAAAUCCAGCUGGCUAAUACCCGGUUGGGAUGACGGUACCCAAAGAAUAAGCACCGGCUAACUUCGUGCCAGCAGCCGCCGUAA
RNAcentral lists this ribosomal RNA (506 nucleotides) under uncultured bacterium. Its description in RNAcentral is "partial 16S ribosomal RNA". It matches the Rfam family "Bacterial small subunit ribosomal RNA", at positions 29 to 523 of the family's 1533-position model. The record is from RNAcentral.